CCUCCGGGAGGCAGCAGUGAGGAAUAUUGGUCAAUGGGCGAGAGCCUGCACCAGCCAAGUCGCGUGAAGGAUGAAGGAUCUAUGGUUUGUAAACUUCUUUUAUAUGGGAAUAAAGUGAGGAACGUGUUCCUUUUUGUAUGUACCAUAUGAAUAAGCAUCGGCGAACUCCGUGCCAGCAGCCGCGGUAAUACGGAGGAUGCGAGCGUUAUCCGGAUUGAUUGGGUUUAAAGGGUGCGGAGGUGGUGCAGUAAGUCAGCGGUGAAAGUUUGUGGCUCAACCAUAAAAUUGCCGUUGAAACUGGUUGACUUGAGUAUAGUUGAGGUAGGCGGAAUGCGUGGGGUAGCGGUGAAAUGCGUAGAUAUCACGCAGAACUCCGAUUGCGAAGGCAGCUUACUAAACUAUAACUGACACUGAAGCACGAAGGCGUGGGGAGCAAACAGGAUUAGAUACCCUUGUAGUC
Molecule: ribosomal RNA, 460 nt
Filed under: uncultured bacterium
Lineage: Bacteria
Description: partial 16S ribosomal RNA
Rfam family: Bacterial small subunit ribosomal RNA
Source: RNAcentral